This 407-nucleotide ribosomal RNA is filed under the name uncultured Mycobacterium sp. RNAcentral describes it as "bacterial SSU rRNA". It matches the Rfam family "Bacterial small subunit ribosomal RNA", at positions 355 to 774 of the family's 1533-position model. RNAcentral also lists the same sequence under 1 other name. The record is from RNAcentral. Lineage: Bacteria; Bacillati; Actinomycetota; Actinomycetes; Mycobacteriales; Mycobacteriaceae.
UGGGGAAUAUUGCACAAUGGGCGCAAGCCUGAUGCAGCGACGCCGCGUGGGGGAUGACGGCCUUCGGGUUGUAAACCUCUUUCAGCCAUGACGAAGCGCAAGUGACGGUAAUGGCAGAAGAAGCACCGGCCAACUACGUGCCAGCAGCCGCGGUAAUACGUAGGGUGCGAGCGUUGUCCGGAAUUACUGGGCGUAAAGAGCUCGUAGGUGGUUUGUCGCGUUGUUCGUGAAAUGCCACAGCUUAACUGUGGGCGUGCGGGCGAUACGGGCAGACUGGAGUACUGCAGGGGAGACUGGAAUUCCUGGUGUAGCGGUGGAAUGCGCAGAUAUCAGGAGGAACACCGGUGGCGAAGGCGGGUCUCUGGGCAGUAACUGACGCUGAGGAGCGAAAGCGUGGGGAGCGAACA